CGUUUGCGUCAUUAGACGUACCGUAGAAAAUCCCUAUGAUGCACAGGUCACGUCACUCAACACCUAACAGAAAAUACCCAUGACGCAUACGUUGCGUUAGCAGGCGAAAGUGUUAAUUUAACAAAGCCAAGCAAUAUUAAUAACAUCGACGAUAUUUAACGAUAUUUAACAGAAUGGAAUGAAGGCUCGUUCGGAUCUCCUCGAAAAAACGUAAAAAGAGAACAGAAUUAUAGCGGAUAACCUACGUUCGUUUUAUCCGUAAAAUUUAUUUUCAACCAGCACGGAUGGAUAUUCAGCAAAGGGCGAAUAACGAAGUGGUAUGGGGUGGUUUUUCCAAGGCACGAACAGGCUUUUCAGGGGAAAGUAACGCAAGUUGGAAACGUGACGAUGAAAAAUUCACGUUUUCAAGGGGACACACACGGUCUCGGCGACGGAAAUAUUCAUCGUGGAUCGCCGAUAAACACGCGAUGGGGGUUGCUGAGGGGGUUGAAAAGGGAAAGUAUCGCGUGCAUAAAUGCCAGAAUACGAAUAGGCAAACUUUUUUCUCUUUUUAAUUAAUAAUUCACGACCGUCGACACUUUGGAUCGCUGACGACCAACGUUAAAUACAUAACGUUUGGCUGAACUUCGUUUUGAGAUACGCAAAUUUGUAAUAUUUUUUUUUUUUUUAUUACAUAUGGAUAAUUUUCGACAAGUAGAAUGCAAAAAGACUACUUUCAAGGCUUGAAGAUCAUUAUCUUAAAAAUAAUGCAUGUACUAUAGCUUACUGUACUGUAUAUUACACUUUAUGUGAAAUUAGUAUUUCUAGAUACUAUUCGUAAAAAGUAAUAUCAUAUGUCAUGAAAGGAAAUGAUAAAUUCUGUAUGCCAGGUGACGCAGUUGAAUCUAAUUUUUAUUUUAAAACAGUGUAAAAGGGAGGGCAAGCAGAAUGUUAGAAAAUCGCCAUUUUUCACAUCGCCUGGAAUUGAAAAAUUCAUGCACAACCUUAAGAGUGUGUCUCCCCAAGGAAGAAGAAACGUUCUUACCGUUUCCCUGAGAAACGAUGGAUAAGUUGUUAAAAAUUAAAUUCAAAUAUGCGAAUAUGACAGUAAUCGUACUUACCUAAGCGUUAUAUUUCAUCUUGUUCAUUUUCAGAUAUUGAACGAUUUUCAAAAAGAUGAACGAGGAGAGUCAGUUGAUAAAUCGACUAAAGUUAUCGAUGAUAAAAUGACUAAAGUUUUGAAUCGACCAAAACCCAAGUACAUUCUUGCGAACACAUGUGGAUGCAAAGUCGUUGUUCACGUUGUUGGUUGCUGUUCGCG
Molecule: unclassified non-coding RNA, 1300 nt
Filed under: Bombus terrestris (buff-tailed bumblebee)
Lineage: Eukaryota; Metazoa; Arthropoda; Insecta; Hymenoptera; Apidae
Description: misc RNA ENSBTSG00005023837.1
Source: RNAcentral